GAGCCGGAUCACACCUGCCUGCUGGCUUACACAGAUUCAACUAUCAAUUAUCCCAGAGGAGAGGCGUGCAGUGCAGGGCGUUGGGCCACGAAACUGAAAGCUGCUGGCGAGGCGCGUGGGGGAGGUCGAUUUCUGCGUCCUGCUGCCUCCACGCACAGUGAGAACCCACCCCGCCACUGCGUUCCUGUCCUCACAGAGAUUCUGGAUUGACUGUGCUAGCAGGAGAAGCUGGGAGUGACUUCUGAGCUGGACUGACCACUGGACGCCAAGUGAUUAUCCCUAAUGUAUUACAUGUCAUUUGCAACCCAAGCUGUCCGUCAUGUACUGGGCCAUCUGACACACUCAUAAAAUCCCAUUACCAACUGGAAAUGGUUUAUGUGGGACUAGCUCCUAACCAGGCACAUCAUUGCUUCAACUGAUUCAUGAGCAGAAGAGUCUUUGCUGGCAACACAUGAACUGUGAUGGAUUCAAUCACUUAGGCUUUCCAUUAUCAAUGCAGACCUGGCCCCUGGGUGCACAGGGUUAUCAGUGACCACCCCUGAAUGCCGCAACUGACCAGACUCCAGGGACACCAUGGACUACUUAGUUGCAGACUGAUGACUUUGGACCUCUUCCAUUAUGGAAAGGGCAGUGAUUUCUUUUCACUGAAACAGGCUCAUGUCUGACUUUGGAACUGACCUCUCUGCCUGUAGAUCAUCAUGGCAUGCUCUACAAAAUUGCUUCUGACAACGGAAUUCACUUUACAGUGAAAGAGGGAAAGCAGUGGGUGAUACCCUUGUCAAUGGAUCCUGUCACCCAGAAGCAGUCAUCUGUAUUCAGCUGUGACAUGAUUUAUUGAAGAUUUCAUUUCAGGACUGAGAGACGAUCAUACCUAAGGAGAUUGAAAUAUCGUCCUUUAAGAUGCUUGUUUGUUCUGAACUAGGGAACAUCACGUGGUGCCGUUUCUCCCACAGCCAGACUAAACAGGUCUGGAGGAAGGGGAAGUAGGCACGGUGCAACUUCCAUCUUACUUAAUGACUCUCACUCUCUUCAACUUUUUUUCCACCAAUUAGCGAUUUUAUUCCCAGGAAAGGAAGGUUGCACCAUUGAGGCAGCUGACCGUUGGGGUGGCUCCCUUUGGAAAGGGGAUAUAAAGUGUUUGUAUGAGUGAUGGUUCCAUUAAAGCAGACAUUUUUUAAAAAGGUGAAAUUUGGGGAAUUAGAGUGAAUAUAGAUGUUGAACAGAAAAAGAGUGAUAUAGCAAUAGUCUGGACAUGUGGGCUGGCCACCUGGAAUUUCACAUGCCAUUAGGUCAAAAAAGUGGGUUGACAAGGCUGGCUGCAGUGACUAGUCCUGGGAAAAUGCUGCUAUACCACGGGAGACAGGCCAGGGUGGAGGCUAUGAAUGAAACUCAAGUGGUUCUCUCAGGAGCCGCCUCCUCCUCCUCCU
Molecule: long non-coding RNA, 1427 nt
Filed under: Homo sapiens (human)
Lineage: Eukaryota; Metazoa; Chordata; Mammalia; Primates; Hominidae
Description: HSALNT0391570
Source: RNAcentral